GAUGAACGCUAGCGGCAGGCUUAAUACAUGCAAGUUGAGGGGCAGCAUGAUAUACGCGAGUAUAUUGAUGGCGACCGGCGGACGGGUGAGUAAUAGGUAGGAGACCUACCUCAUACAGGGGGAUAGCAUAGAGAAAUCUGUGGUAAUACCCCAUGAGGUUAUAUGAAUAGAGGCAUAUAAUCAAAGCAUAAGCGAUUAUGCGGUAUGAGAGGGGCCUACUGACCAUUAGCUAGUUGGUGAGGUAAGGGCUCACCAAGGCGAAGAUGGUUAGGGGUUUUGAGAGAGAGACCCCCCACAUUGGAACUGAGAGACGGUCCAGACUCCUACGGGAGGCAGCAGUAGGGAAUAUUGGGCAAUGGGCGAAAGCCUGACCCAGCCAUGCCGCGUGAAGGAAGACGGCCUUAUGGGUUGUAAACUUCUUUACUACGCGAAUAGAGGUUAGUACGAGAUACUAAUAGGAAGGUAGUGUAGUAAAAGCAACCGGCUAACUCCGU
Molecule: ribosomal RNA, 494 nt
Filed under: uncultured bacterium
Lineage: Bacteria
Description: bacterial SSU rRNA
Rfam family: Bacterial small subunit ribosomal RNA
Source: RNAcentral